UACGUAGGGGGCUAGCGUUGUCCGGAUUUAUUGGGCGUAAAGAGCGUGUAGGCGGCCACGCAGGUCCGUUGUGAAAACUGAAGGCUCAACCUCCAGACGUCGACGGAAACCGUAUGGCUAGAGUCCGGAAGAGGAGAGUGGAAUUCCUGGUGUAGCGGUGAAAUGCGCAGAUAUCAGGAAGAACACCUAUGGCGAAAGCAGCUCUCUGGGACGGUACUGACGCUGAGACGCGAAAGCGUGGGGAGCGAACAGG
This 253-nucleotide ribosomal RNA is filed under the name uncultured bacterium. RNAcentral's name for it is "partial 16S ribosomal RNA". It matches the Rfam family "Bacterial small subunit ribosomal RNA", at positions 524 to 776 of the family's 1533-position model. The record is from RNAcentral.